Molecule: long non-coding RNA, 204 nt
Organism: Calypte anna (Anna's hummingbird)
Lineage: Eukaryota; Metazoa; Chordata; Aves; Apodiformes; Trochilidae
Exons: 3
Source: RefSeq, a predicted model, not a curated record
CUGGUGCUGGUGGAUCAAGAUUUGGGGCAUCGACCGCCGCGACAGGGAGAAUCGGACACCUCUCCAUCUGGCGUCUGCAAACGGCCACACAGAGGUCGUCACAUUUCUAGUAAGGCACCGCUGCCAGUUGGAUGCUGCUGACAAUUUUGGGACAACACCCCUGAUGAUGGCAGUGCAGUUCCAGCACCAAGCCUGUGCUGUUUU